UGGGGAAUAUUGCACAAUGGGGGAAACCCUGAUGCAGCGACGCCGCGUGAGUGAAGAAGUAUUUCGGUACGUAAAGCUCUAUCAGCAGGGAAGAAAAUGACGGUACCUGACUAAGAAGCCCCGGCUAACUACGUGCCAGCAGCCGCGGUAAUACGUAGGGGGCAAGCGUUAUCCGGAUUUACUGGGUGUAAAGGGAGCGUAGACGGCAGCGCAAGUCUGGAGUGAAAUGCCGGGGCCCAACCCCGGAACUGCUUUGGAAACUGUGCAGCUUGAGUGCGGGAGAGGUAAGUGGAAUUCCUAGUGUAGCGGUGAAAUGCGUAGAUAUUAGGAGGAACACCAGUGGCGAAGGCGGCUUACUGGACCGUAACUGACGUUGAGGCUCGAAAGCGUGGGGAGCAAACA
This 402-nucleotide ribosomal RNA is filed under the name uncultured Eubacteriales bacterium. RNAcentral's name for it is "bacterial SSU rRNA". It matches the Rfam family "Bacterial small subunit ribosomal RNA", at positions 355 to 774 of the family's 1533-position model. The record is from RNAcentral. Lineage: Bacteria; Bacillati; Bacillota; Clostridia; Eubacteriales.